UGCAAGUCGAGCGGCAGCGCGGGGCAACCUGGCGGCGAGCGGCGAACGGGUGAGUAAUGUAUCGGAACGUAUCCUUGAGUGGGGGACAACCUAGCGAAAGUUAGGCUAAUACCGCAUGAGCUCGGGAGAGGAAAGCGGGGGAUCGCAAGACCUCGCGCUGAAGGAGCGGCCGAUAUCAGAUUAGCUAGAUGGUGAGGUAAAGGCUUACCAUGGCGACGAUCUGUAGCUGGUCUGAGAGGAUGAUCAGCCACACUGGGACUGAGACACGGCCCAGACUCCUACGGGAGGCAGCAGUGGGGAAUUUUGGACAAUGGGGGCAACCCUGAUCCAGCCAUUCCGCGUGAGUGAAGAAGGCCUUCGGGUUGUAAAGCUCUUUUGUCGGGGACGAAACGGUUUUGGUUAAUACCUAAGACUACUGACGGUACCCGAAGAAUAAGCACCGGCUAACUACGUGCCAGCAGCCGCGGUAAUACGUAGGGUGCAAGCGUUAAUCGGAAUUACUGGGCGUAAAGCGUGCGCAGGCGGUUUUGUAAGCCAGAUGUGAAAUCCCCGGGCUUAACCUGGGAAUGGCAUUUGGGACUGCAAGGCUAGAGUACGGCAGAGGAGACUAGAAUUCCUGGUGUAGCAGUGAAAUGCGUAGAUAUCAGGAGGAAUACCGAUGGCGAAGGCAGGUCUCUGGGCUGAUACUGACGCUCAUGCA
RNAcentral lists this ribosomal RNA (700 nucleotides) under uncultured bacterium. RNAcentral describes it as "bacterial SSU rRNA". It matches the Rfam family "Bacterial small subunit ribosomal RNA", at positions 56 to 753 of the family's 1533-position model. The record is from RNAcentral.